This 24-nucleotide non-coding RNA is filed under the name Arabidopsis thaliana (thale cress). Lineage: Eukaryota; Viridiplantae; Streptophyta; Magnoliopsida; Brassicales; Brassicaceae. The record is from RNAcentral.
UCGUUAGAAUAUCCAGUAGAACGA